Helianthus annuus (common sunflower) is the source of this 784-nucleotide long non-coding RNA. RefSeq lists it as uncharacterized. The record is from RefSeq and is a predicted model, not a curated record. Lineage: Eukaryota; Viridiplantae; Streptophyta; Magnoliopsida; Asterales; Asteraceae. The transcript has 3 exons.
CAAUCAAAACCACUGCCCAUUCAAAAUUUUGGCUCCAGUUUCAAAAUUCAAACCGUAUACAUAUAUAACCUACAUUAUUCUGGCUCCACGUUCAAAAUUCAAACUAUAAAGUCAAUCCACAUCUCUUUCAAAUCCAGAGCUCCUAAUUCAUUGUUCUCCUCAUACCCUAAAUUAGAACAAAAUUUGUGAAAUUUGACGUCUGUAUCUUCAGUUUCACCACAACAAUGGCGUCUGUUUCCCUCGGAUACUUUCAUCUUCAUCUUCCUCACUCUAUCAACAACAACAACAACAACGACAACAACAACAACAACAACAACAACAACACUUGUAUCAGUUCCUAUUCAUCCAACGAUGAUGAUGUUGACGCUGAUUCCGAUGAUGAUGAGAAAGAUGCUGGUCAAGGGUUUACAAAUCGGAAUAGGAACACCGCCAAAGGAAUACCAUGUGCAAGUGUCAACGGAGAUUGUUUCGUCUUCAGAUGGACUGUCUACGGAGUCACGUGAAGGAGAGUUAGUGAACCAUCACAGGCUUUACUAUACCAAACUGGAAUAGGAACACCGCCAAAGGAAUACCAUGUGCAAGUGUCAACGGAGAUUGUUUCGUCUUCGGAUGGACUGUCUACGGAGUCACGUGAAGGUUUGAAUUCAGAUUUUUUUAAUGAUAGUUGUUUGUGUUUGAUUAAAAUUGUUUGUAUAUGAUGAUGUUUAGGGUUAGAUUAGUUUUUAGUGUGUUUUUGGGGUUUGGGAACUAUUGAAUAUAGUUAACUGAUUAUUGAAUGCUAUUA